GUUGUGUUCAGAAGCAGCAUGGAAACAUUAGUUUGAAGCAAUUUAAGAUGCUUAAAAAACUUGGUGGAGGGGACAUUGGGACUGUUUAUCUGUCUGAGCUAAUGGGCACAAACUGUCAGUUUGCUGUGAAAGUUAUGGACAAUGACUUUCUGAUCAGCAGGAGGAAGAUGACAAGAGCGCAGACUGAAAAAGAAAUACUGCAAAUACUGGAUCAUCCUUUUCUACCUACACUCUAUGCUCAUAUUACCAAUGACAAGUAUUCAUGUUUAGUGAUGGAAUAUUGUCCA
RNAcentral lists this unclassified non-coding RNA (287 nucleotides) under Hevea brasiliensis (rubber tree). Lineage: Eukaryota; Viridiplantae; Streptophyta; Magnoliopsida; Malpighiales; Euphorbiaceae. The record is from RNAcentral.